Molecule: ribosomal RNA, 270 nt
Filed under: uncultured bacterium
Lineage: Bacteria
Description: partial 16S ribosomal RNA
Rfam family: Bacterial small subunit ribosomal RNA
Source: RNAcentral
AACGAACGUUAGCGGCGCGCUUAACACAUGCAAGUCGCACGAGAAAGGGCUUCGGCCCCAGUAAAGUGGCGCACGGGUGAGUAACACGUGGGUAAUCUUCCCUCGAGCGGGGGAUAACAUUCCGAAAGGAGUGCUAAUACCGCAUAAGACCACGGACUCGAAAGAGUCUGCGGUCAAAGCUGGCCUCUAUACAUAAGCUAGCACUUGAGGAUGAGCCCGCGGCCCAUCAGGUAGUUGGUAGGGUAACGGCCUACCAAGCCUAAGACGGGU